Molecule: ribosomal RNA, 487 nt
Filed under: uncultured bacterium
Lineage: Bacteria
Description: bacterial SSU rRNA
Rfam family: Bacterial small subunit ribosomal RNA
Source: RNAcentral
CUACGUGCCAGCAGCCGCGGUAAUACGUAGGGUGCGAGCGUUAAUCGGAAUUACUGGGCGUAAAGCGGGCGCAGACGGUUACUUAAGCAGGAUGUGAAAUCCCCGGGCUCAACCUGGGAACUGCGUUCUGAACUGGGUGACUAGAGUAUGUCAGAGGGGGGUAGAAUUCCACGUGUAGCAGUGAAAUGCGUAGAGAUGUGGAGGAAUACCGAUGGCGAAGGCAGCCCCCUGGGAUAAUACUGACGUUCAUGCUCGAAAGCGUGGGUAGCAAACAGGAUUAGAUACCCUGGUAGUCCACGCCCUAAACGAUGUCGAUUAGCUGUUGGGCAGCUUGACUGCUUAGUAGCGUAGCUAACGCGUGAAAUCGACCGCCUGGGGAGUACGGUCGCAAGAUUAAAACUCAAAGGAAUUGACGGGGACCCGCACAAGCGGUGGAUGAUGUGGAUUAAUUCGAUGCAACGCGAAGAACCUUACCUGGUCUUGACAU